This 1026-nucleotide long non-coding RNA is filed under the name Setaria viridis. RNAcentral's name for it is "long non-coding RNA (SVIR_LNC000457)". Lineage: Eukaryota; Viridiplantae; Streptophyta; Magnoliopsida; Poales; Poaceae. The record is from RNAcentral.
CUUAGUGGGUACAUAACAUUUGACUAAAAUUAUAGGUGUUUUUUCAAAGAAAUGCUAGGUCAAGCCACGCUUAAUGCCACAUCCAAAUCGAUAUGAUUAGUAAGUCAAUGGCCGUAUCAUCAUAGUCGAGUGAGGUUGUUAAUGGCUGCAAUUUACACUUUUCUAAAUACCAUGAUCACAAUAAAACAUGCUAAUAAAUAUAAUAAUCCUUCAUGCACUUUUAGCCCCUGAAGUUUGAUGGAUUUGCUCUCCAGGUGAAAACAUGUGAUCUAGCCUUUGUUGAUUGGAUCAUGACAAUGGCGACAUGUGUACGCCCCGUUUCCUUUUGAAUGUGUUGCUUUAGAAGGGCUUUAUUGUGCGGUCCGAGUGUUGUAAUUGGUGGUGGAUGACGUUGAUGAUGAUGACGUGUGUUAUGUUGAUGUGACAUGAUCACUUGUCAUGUCCUUUAUUUUGUUUUAUUUGUUUUGCAUAUGCUCGUGCAAAUGAUCUUGAUUCAACCACAUCAACUUGAUGUCAUGAUGCGAGAUAGACCUUAUUGAGAAAAUAAAGUCACUAAUGCGAUAUUUUCCUUCCUACAAGAAACUAUACAAUGCAAUGCAGGAAUAUUUUCAACGACGACACUUUUGGAGUGGUGAGUAUUGGGCCUCCAUAGGCCUAUUUUUUUUAAAAAAAGAGAGUAUAUAGGACUGGGCCUGUAAAAAUACUCUAGACAUUCAAAUUUUAAUUUUGUAUAGAUUUUUUACCUUCAUCUUAAUACAAUUCUAAAUAAAAUUAAGCUUGGUAAUCUUGUAAACAUGUCACUAAUGAUUUAAUCACCCAUCCAAUAGUCAAUUUUUUGGCCCGAACUUGCCUGGUUCAAAAAAUGUUUUACCAAUGGUUUCUCAUAAUUGUUUAUAAUGGAUAGAAAGGUGAAAUUUUCAUAAUGCUCUUGUUUUUUCUCUCUUUUCUUCCUUUUAUUUCUUUCUUCCUUCCCAUUCUUUUUUUUCCUCUCUAUUUCCCAUCCCUCUCUUUCUUAUCCGUUCUCUG